This 32-nucleotide non-coding RNA is filed under the name Geobacter sulfurreducens KN400. Lineage: Bacteria; Pseudomonadati; Thermodesulfobacteriota; Desulfuromonadia; Geobacterales; Geobacteraceae. The record is from RNAcentral.
GUUACGUGGCGCUGAAUCCGGCCACCUACAGC